This 73-nucleotide transfer RNA is filed under the name Chloroflexota bacterium. RNAcentral's name for it is "Chloroflexi bacterium (hydrothermal vent metagenome) tRNA-Ile". It matches the Rfam family "tRNA". From Rfam's summary of the family: Transfer RNA (tRNA) molecules are approximately 80 nucleotides in length. The record is from RNAcentral. RNAcentral also lists the same sequence under 1 other name. Lineage: Bacteria; Bacillati; Chloroflexota.
GGGCCUGUAGCUCAGCGGUCAGAGCAGGCGGCUCAUAACCGCUUGGUCGCAGGUUCGAAUCCUGCCGGGCCCA